AACGAACGCUGGCGGCAGGCCUAACACAUGCAAGUCGAACGAACUCUUCGGAGUGAGUGGCGCACGGGUGCGUAACACGUGGGAAUAUACCCUAGAGUAAGGAAUAACUGCUGGAAACGGUAGCUAAUACCUUAUAAUGACUUCGGUCCAAAGAUUUUUCGCUCUAGGAUUAGCCCGCGCCUGAUUAGAUUGUUGGUGAGGUAACGGCUCACCAAGUCUACGAUCAGUAGGGGGUCUGAGAGGAUGAUCCCCCACACUGGAACUGAGACACGGUCCAGACUCCUACGGGAGGCAGCAGUGAGGAAUAUUGCGCAAUGGAGGAAACUCUGACGCAGCCAUGCCGCGUGAGUGAAGAAGGCCUUAGGGUUGUAAAGCUCUUUCAAUAGUGAAGAUAAUGACGGUAACUAUAGAAGAAGCCCCGGCUAAAUUCG
This 431-nucleotide ribosomal RNA is filed under the name uncultured Alphaproteobacteria bacterium. RNAcentral describes it as "bacterial SSU rRNA". It matches the Rfam family "Bacterial small subunit ribosomal RNA", at positions 29 to 505 of the family's 1533-position model. Lineage: Bacteria; Pseudomonadati; Pseudomonadota; Alphaproteobacteria. The record is from RNAcentral.